Molecule: non-coding RNA, 201 nt
Organism: Vicia faba (fava bean)
Lineage: Eukaryota; Viridiplantae; Streptophyta; Magnoliopsida; Fabales; Fabaceae
Source: the annotation of a GenBank genome assembly
AUGAUAACGGUGAUACAAGAAGAGGGUGGAAAAAGGUGGAAGAAGAUGCCAAGAUUGAAGAGAAUUUCUCAGAGAGAAAGAUUAAAGAAUUUUAUGGUUUUCAGUGGCUUUUUCCGAGUGAGACUGAAGAAGCCCAUUCAAAGGAUUGGAGAGUUUCAGAUAUUUUCCCUUUUUCUUUUGAACCGUGAAGAAUCCAUCUAA